UCAGUAUCCGUCCAGAAGGCCGCCUUCGCCACCGGUGUUCCUCCACAUCUCUACGCAUUUCACCGCUACACGUGGAAUUCCGCUCUCCUCUUCUGCACUCAAGUUCCCCAGUUUCCAGUGCAUCACGGGGUUGAGCCCCGCACUUAGACACCAGACUUAAAGAACCGCCUGCGCGCGCUUUACGCCCAAUAAUUCCGGACAACGCUUGCCCCCUACGUAUUACCGCGGCUGCUGGCACGUAGUUAGCCGGGGCUUUCUUCUCAGGUACCGUCAUCGGACUAGCAGUUAACUAGCCCUUAUUCUUCCCUGGCAACAGAGCUUUACGACCCGAAGGCCUUCCUCACUCACGCGGCGUUGCUCCAUCAGGCUUUCGCCCAUUGUGGAAGAUUCCCUACUGCUGCCUCCCGUAGGAGUCUGGGCCGUGUCUCAGUCCCAGUGUGGCCGUUCACCCUCUCAGGUCGGCUACGCAUCGUCGCCUUGGUGGGCCGUUACCCCGCCAACUAGCUAAUCCGACAUGGGCUCAUCCAAUCGCGCGACGCCUUGCGGUCCGCCGCUUUCACCUCUCGGUCGUAUGCGGUAUUAGCGUAAGUUUCCCUACGUUAUCCCCCACGACAGGGUAGAUUCCCAUGUAUUCCUCACCCGUCCGCCACUCGCCACCCACAGUAUUGCUACUGCUGUGCUGCCGUUCGACUUGCAUGUGUUAGGCCUGCCGCCAGCGUUCACUCUGAGCCAGGAUCAAACUC
RNAcentral lists this ribosomal RNA (743 nucleotides) under uncultured bacterium. Its description in RNAcentral is "partial 16S ribosomal RNA". The record is from RNAcentral.